UACGAUAAAUGGCAAACUUACUGAAAAGUGAGGACGCAAAGCCGAGGGUCUAAUGUUCCUGUUGGAACUAUGACAGCCUGGUUACCGAA
This 89-nucleotide non-coding RNA is filed under the name Paenibacillus sp. RNAcentral's name for it is "c-di-GMP sequence". It matches the Rfam family "c-di-GMP-I riboswitch aptamer". Rfam says of the family: GEMM was predicted in a large-scale screen for bacterial structured RNA regulatory elements. Genes associated with GEMM are involved in a diverse array of functions, including chemotaxis regulation, signal transduction, secretion and chitin. Lineage: Bacteria; Bacillati; Bacillota; Bacilli; Caryophanales; Paenibacillaceae. The record is from RNAcentral.